AGCGGAAUUCGUGAGACCAUUUUUUAAAUGAGUGUAGUACACCACUCUUGGUAUAGUACAUCCAUUUUGAGUCUGUAUUAGGAUUUUAUAUGGAUAUGUCAGUCACUUCAAUUCAAUUGCUCAGUUGUGUCCGAUGGUUUGGAACCCCAUGGAUUGUAGCAUGCCCCGCUUUCCCUGUCAAUCACUAACUCCGUGAGCUUGUGUCUCCUUCCUUCUCAGCUUUAUUAUAGUUCGUAUUUCUUGUUUGACGAAUCUGUACAGAGUUUCCUUUGUUGUGGCUGUACUGAUUCUCGCUCCCUUACAUCGAUACACAGAGGCAGUCAGCAGUGUUUAUUUUCUCUGACCUGCUCUCAGAAGUGUGUACGACAUCACUCUUGCUAAGUCGGUCCCUGUAGAUUAUGUAUGUGACAGGUAUUUGUGGGAAUCCAUGAAUUUCAGCCUACCAAUAUAAGCCUUCCAGGGAGUUCCAUUUUACCUCGGUUGGGGUACUCACUACCAGCAAUAUUGUCUGUCCUAUGUGAAACGUAAAUUCUGUAACACAACUCUCAUCUGCCCUUCUUCAGUGACUCUGAUUAUCACAAUUGUCUGUACCUCUGACAAGGUCAUUCUUUCCUUGUUUCAAUGCUUGAGUCAUAUUCCGUCAUGAACCCCUACCCCAUUCCUUUAUCUGUUCAUCUCUCUGUCCCUGUGUACUUCCUUUAAUUUCAUCUCUGGGCAUUGGGAAUCCUGCUGCAGUGCAUCCUCUUGGGCAUGUGGUUUUCAAAGUCUGUGUAUUUCUGAAGUAUCAUAGGAGUGGAGAAGCCCUGUCAUAUUUUCUUUUUUUUUUUUUU
Molecule: small RNA, 830 nt
Filed under: Bos taurus (domestic cattle)
Lineage: Eukaryota; Metazoa; Chordata; Mammalia; Artiodactyla; Bovidae
Source: RNAcentral